Molecule: non-coding RNA, 53 nt
Organism: Rhizobium etli CNPAF512
Lineage: Bacteria; Pseudomonadati; Pseudomonadota; Alphaproteobacteria; Hyphomicrobiales; Rhizobiaceae
Source: Rfam
CGGCGGGACACCCUUCCCCAACGAAGGGCUUUCUAUCUGAGAGGAUAGCAUCA